RNAcentral lists this ribosomal RNA (553 nucleotides) under uncultured bacterium. RNAcentral's name for it is "partial 16S ribosomal RNA". It matches the Rfam family "Bacterial small subunit ribosomal RNA", at positions 355 to 900 of the family's 1533-position model. The record is from RNAcentral.
UGGGGAAUAUUGGACAAUGGGCGAAAGCCUGAUCCAGCCAUGCCGCGUGUGUGAAGAAGGUCUUCGGAUUGUAAAGCACUUUAAGUUGGGAGGAAGGGCAGUUACCUAAUACGUGAUUGUUUUGACGUUACCGACAGAAUAAGCACCGGCUAACUCUGUGCCAGCAGCCGCGGUAAUACAGAGGGUGCAAGCGUUAAUCGGAAUUACUGGGCGUAAAGCGCGCGUAGGUGGUUAGUUAAGUUGGAUGUGAAAUCCCCGGGCUCAACCUGGGAACUGCAUUCAAAACUGACUGACUAGAGUAUGGUAGAGGGUGGUGGAAUUUCCUGUGUAGCGGUGAAAUGCGUAGAUAUAGGAAGGAACACCAGUGGCGAAGGCGACCACCUGGACUGAUACUGACACUGAGGUGCGAGAGCGUGGGGAGCAAACAGGAUUAGAUACCCUGGUAGUCCACGCCGUAAACGAUGUCAACUAGCCGUUGGGAGCCUUGAGCUCUUAGUGGCGCAGCUAACGCAUUAAGUUGACCGCCUGGGGAGUACGGCCGCAAGGUUAAAAC